This 443-nucleotide ribosomal RNA is filed under the name uncultured soil bacterium. RNAcentral's name for it is "bacterial SSU rRNA". It matches the Rfam family "Bacterial small subunit ribosomal RNA", at positions 26 to 518 of the family's 1533-position model. The record is from RNAcentral.
AGAACGAACGCUGGCGGCAUGCCUAAUACAUGCAAGUCGAACGAGAUCUUCGGGUCUAGUGGCGCACGGGUGCGUAACGCGUGGGAAUCUACCCUUGGGUUCGGAAUAACAGUUGGAAACGACUGCUAAUACCGGAUGAUGACGAAAGUCCAAAGAUUUAUCGCCCAGGGAUGAGCCCGCGUAGGAUUAGCUAGUUGGUGAGGUAAAGGCUCACCAAGGCUACGAUCCUUAGCUGGUCUGAGAGGAUGAUCAGCCACACUGGGACUGAGACACGGCCCAGACUCCUACGGGAGGCAGCAGUAGGGAAUAUGGACAAUGGGGGCAACCCUGAUCCAGCAAUGCCGCGUGAGUGAUGAAGGCCUUAGGUUGUAAAGCUCUUUACCCGAGAUGAUAAUGACAGUAUCGGGAGAAUAAGCUCCGGCUAACUCCGUGCCAGCAGCCGC